AUUAUUUCUGGCUUCGCCACUGCCCGUAGAUGCAUGCUGGAACAAACUAAAAACUGACAUGACAACUAAUUUUACGCUCCAUUGUGUCCUCCUUGUCCAUAGUUCGUGGACAUGUAAGUUUUGAUUUUUCAAUGGCAGUUUGGGUUUUGGGUGUGUAUCCUGCUUUCAUUUUUUCCUACAUCUCAUAGAAUAAAGUUCUCAAUGAGAGAGAGAGAGAGUUUGGGAUUGGGUCCCCAUGCAUGGGCUUGCAUCGACAUGAACAACUUGAUAUACUAAACUUUAAUGAGUAGGGAGAACAAUCAAAUUCAGCUAGCCGCUUACAGUUACAAUGAAAAUGAAUGGACCUUUGUAUGAAAUUAUGGUUUUACUUGUUAUCUGAGUAAAAGUGUUACUC
Molecule: long non-coding RNA, 394 nt
Filed under: Panax ginseng (ginseng)
Lineage: Eukaryota; Viridiplantae; Streptophyta; Magnoliopsida; Apiales; Araliaceae
Description: long non-coding RNA (PGIN_LNC011781)
Source: RNAcentral